RNAcentral lists this ribosomal RNA (293 nucleotides) under uncultured bacterium. RNAcentral's name for it is "partial 16S ribosomal RNA". It matches the Rfam family "Bacterial small subunit ribosomal RNA", at positions 505 to 796 of the family's 1533-position model. The record is from RNAcentral.
GUGCCAGCCGCCGCGGUAAUACGUAGGGGCCUAGCGUUGUCCGGAUUUAUUGGGCGUAAAGAGCUCGUAGGCGGUUCGGUAAGUCAGCUGUGAAAUCUCCACGCUUAACGUGGAGGGGUCAGCUGAUACUGCCGUGACUCGAGUCCGGUAGGGGAGUGUGGAAUUCCCGGUGUAGCGGUGAAAUGCGCAGAUAUCGGGAGGAACACCAGUAGCGAAGGCGGCACUCUGGGCCGGUACUGACGCUGAGGAGCGAAAGCGUGGGGAGCAAACAGGAUUAGAUACCCCCGUAGUCC